CAUAGCGACUAUCGUGGCAUAUCAAUAAGCGGAGGAAAAGAAACUAACAAGGAUUCCCCUUAGUAACGGCGAGUGAAGCGGGAAGAGCUCAAAUUUGAAAUCUUCAAGGGUUUACCCUUUACGAAUUGUAGUUUAAAGAAGUGUUUUCUGUUGAAGUUUUGGUAAAAGUUCUUUGGAAGUAGGACAUCAUAGAGGGUGAGAAUCCCGUAUUUGACCGUUACCUUCCAGCUGUGUGAUACACUUUCAAAGAGUCGGAUUGUUUGGGAAUGCAGUCCAAGAUGGGUGGUAAAUUUCAUCUAAAGCUAAAUAUUGGCGAGAGACCGAUAGCGAACAAGUACCGUGAGGGAAAGAUGAAAAGAACUUUGAAAAGAGAGUUAAACAGUACGUGAAAUUGUCAAAAGGGAAGCGUUUGACACCAGUGUUGUUUAGUUGAAAAUCAAUUCAAUAAUUUUUGAUUUUGAGUAGUAUUGACAUCAUCAGCUUGCUGCUUUCUUUUCAGAAAUUAUUGAAUGCACUUUUCAGUUAACAAGUCAACAUCAAUUUCUUUUGUUGUAAAAGGGUAAGAGGAAGGUGGCUUGCGCUUCGGCUCAAGUGUUUAUAGCCUUUUACCCCUGCAAUCGGAGAGAUUGAGGUCUGCAGCGUAGAUCCUUCGGGGUUAGAUACAUUUGUGCUAAGCUAUAGCCUUGUAUAGACAACUUGUUGACUAUGCUCAGUCAUGUAGCUUACUCGCUUAUGCUAUUUUACCUACGCUUAGGAUGUUGACGAGACUGUCGAUCUC
This 778-nucleotide ribosomal RNA is filed under the name uncultured Neocallimastigales. Its description in RNAcentral is "partial large subunit ribosomal RNA". It matches the Rfam family "Eukaryotic large subunit ribosomal RNA", at positions 22 to 646 of the family's 3401-position model. The record is from RNAcentral. Lineage: Eukaryota; Fungi; Neocallimastigomycota; Neocallimastigomycetes; Neocallimastigales.